GGGGUUGUGGCUCAGUGGUAGAGUACCUGCCUAGCACACACUAGGCACUGAGUUUGAUCCUCAGCACCACA
RNAcentral lists this transfer RNA (71 nucleotides) under Marmota monax (woodchuck). RNAcentral describes it as "tRNA.Ala". Lineage: Eukaryota; Metazoa; Chordata; Mammalia; Rodentia; Sciuridae. The record is from RNAcentral.